Molecule: unclassified non-coding RNA, 405 nt
Filed under: Sipha flava (yellow sugarcane aphid)
Lineage: Eukaryota; Metazoa; Arthropoda; Insecta; Hemiptera; Aphididae
Description: uncharacterized LOC112684294, transcript variant X2
Source: RNAcentral
CCGAAUGUGUCUUGCGGACGUAUUUACCGCCGCCUUGUGGUCGGUCAGUCGCACGAGUACGCGUCGCCACCGACAUAGGGGCUCGAACGAUUCGUGUUUUGCGUCAGCCACACACACGUCUUGCCCCGUACGAGUGUGCUCCGGCGGAACCUUUGUGCAAAGGCAUCCUCCUGAAUACGUGUGGUGGACCUUGCGGGUUUCUCCAGUUUUCGAAGACAUCUGUUGGUCCUGGAAUCGUCGCACGUGCAUUGGACACGGUCGCGUGGGUGCAACCAACCAAACUCCAGGCCGAUUCAGGCGCGGACCCGAACGUAUAGUGACGUUCGGCGUCAUUCAUUAUUUUUUAAUCUUGCAUUGCGCACUACACUUAUUAUUAUUAUUAUUAUUGUUCUUAUUAUAAUUUGU